This 253-nucleotide ribosomal RNA is filed under the name uncultured bacterium. RNAcentral describes it as "partial 16S ribosomal RNA". It matches the Rfam family "Bacterial small subunit ribosomal RNA", at positions 524 to 776 of the family's 1533-position model. The record is from RNAcentral.
UACGAAGGGGGCGAGCGUUGUUCGGAAUUACUGGGCGUAAAGGGCGCGUAGGCGGCCGAUCAAGUCAGAUGUGAAAGUCCUGGGCUUAACCUGGGGACUGCAUUUGAUACUGAUUGGCUUGAAUGCAGGAGAGGAUAGCGGAAUUCCCAGUGUAGAGGUGAAAUGCGUAGAUAUCUGGAGGAACACCGGUGGCGAAGGCGGCGUUCUGGACUGCAACUGACACUGAGGAACGAAAGCCAGGGGAGCAAACGGG